AUUGAACGCUGGCGGCAUGCUUUACACAUGCAAGUCGAACGGUAACAGGUUAAGCUGACGAGUGGCGAACGGGUGAGUAAUGCAUCGGAACGUGCCCGGUCGUGGGGGAUAACGCAGCGAAAGCUGCGCUAAUACCGCAUACGAUCUGAGGAUGAGAGCGGGGGACCGUAAGGCCUCGCGCGAUCGGAGCGGCCGAUGUCAGAUUAGGCAGUUGGUGGGGUAAAGGCUCACCAAGCCGACGUUCUGUAGCUGGUCUGAGAGGACGACCAGCCACACUGGGACUGAGACACGGCCCAGACUCCUACGGGAGGCAGCAGUGGGGAAUUUUGGACAAUGGGCGCAAGCCUGAUCCAGCAAUGCCGCGUGCAGGAAGAAGGCCUUCGGGUUGUAAACUGCUUUUGUACGGAGCGAAAAGGCUCUCUCUAAUACAGGGGGCUCAUGACGGUACCGUAAGAAUAAGCACCGGCUAACUACGUGCCAGCAGCCGCCGUAA
This 493-nucleotide ribosomal RNA is filed under the name uncultured bacterium. RNAcentral describes it as "partial 16S ribosomal RNA". It matches the Rfam family "Bacterial small subunit ribosomal RNA", at positions 29 to 523 of the family's 1533-position model. The record is from RNAcentral.